This 651-nucleotide long non-coding RNA is filed under the name Calidris pugnax (ruff). Its description in RNAcentral is "lncRNA (ENSCPUG00000018928.1)". The record is from RNAcentral. Lineage: Eukaryota; Metazoa; Chordata; Aves; Charadriiformes; Scolopacidae.
UGUCGGAUAAGGGACAAGACCCAAAUCCAUGAAGCCCAGUGAGACGUAUUGACCCGCUCUGCUUCCAGUCCAGGUCGCACAGAAGCAGGCAGCCCAGUCUCCAGGUGGCACUUGGGAUGAGGAGAAGCCAUGCAAGGUCAGCAGCCUGGCGUGAGGAAGUGUCCUGCUCCCGGCAAAGCAACGGCACAAGUUCAUCUAUGUUUGGACUCUGGCCCUGGCAGGUUACAAACAGCACCUAAAGGAUGGACAACCUUGGGAAGUGUCCUGUGCUGCCUGAGCCUCUUUCAAAACAGUAAAUCUGGAGGGGACUCUGCCACAUUUCCACAUGCUCCCUUUUCCCAAGUCAGAAGUUAGAGGUGCAGGACAAAAAGGCAGGGGGGUGGGGGGAGGAGAAACGGGACACUUUUGCUCCUAAAGCAGUGAAAGAGUAAUAAUAAUCACAGAAUCACAGAAUCUUCUAGGUUGGAAGGGACCUUAAAGAUCAUCUUGUCCAACCGUCAACCUAACUGACAAAAAUAGACACCCACACAACAAACAAGGAGCAUCAUCACUAAACCAGACCUCCCAGCACUACAUCAACCCGGCUUUUGAAUAAUAAUAAUAAUAAUAAUAAUAAUAAUAAAUAUAAAUAUAAAUAUAAAUAUAGUAUCA